UCCCCAUUGCCCUUCUCCUGAUGAGUCCUGAUCUCAUCCAGUCCUAGCUCUCUCUCCAGUGUCACCUCCCGAUCUGCUGUGACCCUGACAUGCUGGUUGUAUAACCGGCAGGUCUCACCUCACAGUGGCCUUACCUCACAGUGGCCUUGCACAUCAUCUGCCCCUCGGACACUGCUGUCUCCAAGACUCCAUGUGAGCACUUCCUUCUCCAGGAAACCCUCCCUGACUCCUGCUCCCCUGCCCUUGGGGCCUCCAGCCAGGCCAGUGCAGGCAGCAGGAUGCCUCAGGAGGACCUGGGAAGUGGACCCUGGCCCUGCAGUCCACUCCUGCCCUGGGAAGAGUGAGAAGGGGCUGGAUCCAUCACAGUGCCUGAUCUUGGACCCUGGCUCUCAGGAGACGUCAGCAGGACGGAGGCCACCCUUGGUCCGCUGUGUGACCCUGCUGGUCACCUGGCUUCUCCGGCUCCUCUCCCACGAGAGGGCCAGCACCGCCCAGGGCCCCCCUCCUCAGCCCUGCUGCACCCCGAGGCGGGACUGAGCCUCCAGAGUGCUGGGAUUACAGAUGUGCACCACCACACCCAGCAUGCGCUGUUUUAUUAACUACUGUGUGAAAAUGGUACCUCAAGGAACCAGAGCCAUGUGGGUUGAACACUUGCUAAGUUCGCCCCUGCUGGGAUUCGUGCCUCCGCGCUGCGUCUGUGGGCUGAGGUCUUCCC
RNAcentral lists this long non-coding RNA (715 nucleotides) under Heterocephalus glaber (naked mole-rat). RNAcentral describes it as "lncRNA (ENSHGLG00100039704.1)". Lineage: Eukaryota; Metazoa; Chordata; Mammalia; Rodentia; Bathyergidae. The record is from RNAcentral.